AAGCUAGAAAGACAUGAAAAAAAAAAUCAGUAAUGAAGAGGAAAUGAAGGAAGCCAGUGCACCUACUUUGAAAUGGAAUAUUGUUAGUUGUUAAGAAGAAAGGGAAAUGUAAAGUGUCCCUGUAUGGUCAGGAAGUCAUUAGGAAACACCCAUUGACUCAAAAUAGGUCAUUUCAACUGCUAAUAAGCAUUGACCACUUGUCCACUUUUUAUACUCACAAAAGCAGUACUUGCUUAGGGUAAGCAGCACAUACAUAAUUCAGCUAUUUGGAAGUACAAAAAUUUACAUUAAAAAACUUCAGCAGCAUGUGGAAUUAUCUGUUAAUCAUACAAAUUGCAGGUAUUUUAACAGGUGUUGUUCAUAACAAAGUAACUAACAUGUGCCGAGGUAAUAAUCCAAAAUGUGACAGAGGAAAAAGCAUAAAAAUCGAGAUGGUUACAUGUCCAUCCCCUGCUAACAAACGUCUAUGGAUGCAAACAAAACCUGAAAUACGUACAAGGUGUGAAAAUGUAAAAGAAUGUGACAUUAACUUUGUAGUAAGUUCAGUUUCAGCAUGCUGUGGAGAAGAUGGUCAAAUAAAGAAACCUCGUCUGAGAUUCGUUUAUAAUUGUCCAACUUUGAAUGAAGGGGUGGCAAAAAACGCAACAAUGGCAUCAAAGAAACAAAAUUUUCCCACAACUACGAAGCAAACGGCGACUGCUUCUAAGAGUAUUCCUAUAUCUACACCUAGACAUGAAUCCGUUAGUAACAAUGUUCUCAACCCAAAGAAUGAAAAUUUCCCAGAAUCUGGAUUUUGUGAGGCAGAUAUUUGCUAUGAGAAACCUUACUGUUCGAUUGGAAGCAAAAUAGCCAUUCGCAAUUAUACAAAUAAUGGAGAACAGGACUGGAAAAUAAUGGGCAUGAUACAAUAUUAUUGCAACAAGAGACAGAACUGUGAAUCUGAAUUCAACGGAUAUACACAAAAGAUCUGCCUACCUGAUGCUAAAAAUGUGAUUCAAUAUAUUUGUAUGAAUGAAAAAAUCACAUAUGAUGUUGAUUGUCCGCACUCCCAAGUUAUCAGUGGUUCCGAAGGCCAUAUCAUUUCCAUUGACUAUCCUAGAAUGAUGCCACCAGUAACUAGUAUAUGCAACUUCAAAAUUGCUUUCAGUGAAGCAGUACCAAUAGAACUUUUUUUGCUGGAUGGAAAAAAUAUUCGUGUGCAGAUUAUUACUAAAGAUGAUAUAACUGUUACUAAAGAUCUUAAUCCUUUUCACACCAUCCUGGGAGAAUCCUUUGAAAUUAAUUUUGAAAUCAACCCUGAAAAUUUAAGAGAGAAACGAUUUUGGAUAUAUUACCGCACACUGACAACUGAUAAUGUCCACAGCAAACCUGCACUUCCAUGGAAAGACACGUGUCCGGAAACAAUUGAGAAGAAAACAACUCAAAUUCAGACAACUGAUAAAAUCAAAACAACAUCAGAAAUAAAUAAAGACGAUAUUGCCAAAAGCGAUGUUAGUAAGAAAGAUUUACCACCAACACGUAGGUCUGAAAUAUUUUCUAAAAGUACUGAAGUGAUCGAUUCUACUGUAAGAAUGGUACCUGCUCUGACCCCAGUCCAUAGAGAGGUGAAGACCCAUAAAACAGCCGCUGACGGGAAGAUGGAAGUAAAAUUUAGCACCACUGAAACUAGUCAUGUUGCAGUUAUAACCAAUAAACAUCAUGAAACUGGGGUUAUGGAUGGCACUGAGGAAAAUAGCGUAAGACACACAAGUGUAUCUUCGCAGCCUGGAAUGUUUGGCAAAGAAAUUAUCACAGGACUGAUAGCUGGAAUUGUAAUUCUCGCAUGUCUCGUGAUAAUUUUGUUGACAGCACUGAUUGCCAGCAUGAAGCGAAAAAAGUAAGUUGAAAAUUCACAGAAGAUAUAUUGCCUACCAAAUCAAAUUAUUGGACUACACAUCACAUCGUCAUGAACUCCAGUAAAAGCAAGAAAUACUUCCAAUGCGAUUGUAUGUGGAACUUCAAAACCGCCUCCUAGCAACAACUGAAAAUUUCUGAUCCUGUCUUAUGCCUAAACUUCACCUUUUGUAGACGUCGACGAUGCCUGGCUGCGAAUACAGAGAGAGAAGAACGCUCUAGCAGUGAAGCCAUAAACGAACCCUUAGCAUCAUUCCAGUACCUGAAAGAAAAUUUUGGUGAAGGAGACAAUGAAACACUGAAUGGUCGGUCAAAGAA
RNAcentral lists this unclassified non-coding RNA (2211 nucleotides) under Octopus sinensis (East Asian common octopus). Its description in RNAcentral is "uncharacterized LOC115211776, transcript variant X2". The record is from RNAcentral. Lineage: Eukaryota; Metazoa; Mollusca; Cephalopoda; Octopoda; Octopodidae.